Molecule: ribosomal RNA, 497 nt
Filed under: uncultured bacterium
Lineage: Bacteria
Description: partial 16S ribosomal RNA
Rfam family: Bacterial small subunit ribosomal RNA
Source: RNAcentral
GACGAACGCUGGCGGCGUGCCUAAUACAUGCAAGUAGAACGCUGAAGAGAGGAGCUUACUCUUCUUGGAUGAGUUGCGAACGGGUGAGUAACGCGUAGGUAACCUGCCUUGUAGCGGGGGAUAACUAUUGGAAACGAUAGCUAAUACCGCAUAACAAUGGAUGACACAUGUCAUUUAUUUGAAAGGGGCAAUUGCUCCACUACAAGAUGGACCUGCGUUGUAUUAGCUAGUAGGUGAGGUAAUGGCUCACCUAGGCGACGAUACAUAGCCGACCUGAGAGGGUGAUCGGCCACACUGGGACUGAGACACGGCCCAGACUCCUACGGGAGGCAGCAGUAGGGAAUCUUCGGCAAUGGGGGCAACCCUGACCGAGCAACGCCGCGUGAGUGAAGAAGGGUUUCGGAUCGUAAAGCUCUGCUGUAAGUCAAGAACGGGUGUGAGAGUGGAAAGUUCACACUGUGACGGUAGCUUACCAGAAAGGGACGGCUAACUACGUG